RNAcentral lists this ribosomal RNA (250 nucleotides) under uncultured bacterium. RNAcentral's name for it is "partial 16S ribosomal RNA". It matches the Rfam family "Bacterial small subunit ribosomal RNA", at positions 524 to 773 of the family's 1533-position model. The record is from RNAcentral.
UACGAAGGGGGCUAGCGUUGUUCGGAAUUACUGGGCGUAAAGCGCACGUAGGCUGAUAGUUAAGUGAGGGGUGAAAUCCCGAGGCUCAACCUCGGAACUGCCUUUCAUACUGGCUAUCUCGAGUCCGGAAGAGGUUAGUGGAAUUCCUAGUGUAGAGGUGAAAUUCGUAGAUAUUAGGAAGAACACCAGUGGCGAAGGCGGCUAACUGGUCCGGUACUGACGCUGAGGUGCGAAAGCGUGGGGAGCAAAC